Long non-coding RNA from Zingiber officinale, 262 nucleotides. RefSeq lists it as uncharacterized. The record is from RefSeq and is a predicted model, not a curated record. NCBI's taxonomy places the organism in Eukaryota, Viridiplantae, Streptophyta, Magnoliopsida, Zingiberales, Zingiberaceae. The transcript has 3 exons.
GUAUCGGAGAAGGUGAACAAGUUUGUAAAUUGUCAAAAAAUAAACAUUUGAGAUUUCAAAUGUGUAUCAUAAUUAUUUUAGUAGAGGUUACUCCUGGUGACACUUGAUCAACAAUGCCAAGCAUUAGAGCUCCAUCAUCAAAAAGGACUACAAGUUUAUUGGUGGCAGUAAAAUGUAGGCCAUUGACUGAAGUAGAACAAAAGCAGUGCAUGCAUAUUAUUCAAGUCUUGACAUGUCAAAGGGCUAUCUUGACCUCAUACAA